This 148-nucleotide small RNA is filed under the name Pelobates cultripes (western spadefoot toad). The record is from RNAcentral. Lineage: Eukaryota; Metazoa; Chordata; Amphibia; Anura; Pelobatidae.
GUGACAGAGUGAGAGAGGGGGUGACUAGUGACAGAGUGAAAGAGGGGGUGACUGUCACUAGUCACCCCAUCCCUCACUCUGUCACUAGUCACCCCCUCUCUCACUCUAUCACUAGUCACCCCCUUCCCUCUCUCUGUCACUCCCUCAC